UACGGAGGGGGCAAGCGUUGUUCGGAAUUACUGGGCGUAAAGGGCUCGUAGGCGGCCAACUAAGUCAGACGUGAAAUCCCUCGGCUUAACCGGGGAACUGCAUCUGAUACUGGAUGGCUUGAGUUCGGGAGAGGGAUGCGGAAUUCCAGGUGUAGCGGUGAAAUGCGUAGAUAUCGUGAGGAAGACCAGUUGCGAAGGCGGAUCUCUGGGCAGUUCCUGACACUGAGGCACGAAGGCCAGGGGAGCAAACGGG
RNAcentral lists this ribosomal RNA (253 nucleotides) under uncultured bacterium. RNAcentral describes it as "partial 16S ribosomal RNA". It matches the Rfam family "Bacterial small subunit ribosomal RNA", at positions 524 to 776 of the family's 1533-position model. The record is from RNAcentral.